RNAcentral lists this ribosomal RNA (578 nucleotides) under uncultured bacterium. Its description in RNAcentral is "bacterial SSU rRNA". It matches the Rfam family "Bacterial small subunit ribosomal RNA", at positions 338 to 916 of the family's 1533-position model. The record is from RNAcentral.
CUUACGGGAGGCAGCAGUAGGGAAUAUUGGACAAUGGACGCAAGUCUGAUCCAGCCAUGCCGCGUGCAGGAUGACAGCCCUCUGGGUUGUAAACUGCUUUUAUAUGAGAAGAAACCCUCAGAUGCGUUUGAGGCUGACGGUAUCAUAUGAAUAAGGAUCGGCUAACUUCGUGCCAGCAGCCGCGGUAAGACGAAGGAUCCAAGCGUUGUCCGGAUUUACUGGGUUUAAAGGAUGCGUAGGCGGACACUUAAGCCAGUGGUGAAAUCCCAUAGCUCAACUAUGGAACUGCCAUUGGAACUGUGUGUCUUGAAUUCGGUUGAGGUAGAUGGAAUAUAACAUGUAGCGGUGAAAUGCUUAGAUAUGUUAUAGAACACCGAUUGCGAAGGCAGUCUACUAAGCCGACAUUGACGCUGAGGCAUGAAAGCGUGGGGAGCGAACAGGAUUAGAUACCCUGGUAGUCCACGCCCUAAACGUUGAUUACUCGCUGUUAGCGAUACACUGUUAGCGGCUAAGCGAAAGCGUUAAGUAAUCCACCUGGGAAGUACGACCGCAAGGUUGAAACUCAAAGGAAUUGACGG